This 312-nucleotide ribosomal RNA is filed under the name Triticum aestivum (bread wheat). RNAcentral describes it as "partial small subunit ribosomal RNA". Lineage: Eukaryota; Viridiplantae; Streptophyta; Magnoliopsida; Poales; Poaceae. The record is from RNAcentral.
AUGAUAACAUCGUUGCAUCCUAUAUUUUCAAGCAUUAUCAAACCUUUUCGCACAGCUAUUAUUUCAGCUGUGCUAGCAUCAUACACAUUAUUCACAAGCCAUGAGCCACCUGCUACUGCCCUACUUGCAAUUUCGAAUCACUGCUGCUGCUCCCGACCCAUCUUGAAAAAAAAAAUGCGUCCACGUUCAUUUUGUAGCUGUCAGCCGAAGGUUUCUGCAAUGGUAGUCCACAUUCAUCUUGUAGCUGCCGGCCGAAGGUUGGUAUUUUAUGUGGCUGUAUCACGCUCUGAGUCGCUGCAAAGUUUGAUUUGA